Molecule: RNA transcript, 2427 nt
Organism: Sceloporus undulatus (fence lizard)
Lineage: Eukaryota; Metazoa; Chordata; Lepidosauria; Squamata; Phrynosomatidae
Gene name: collagen alpha-1(I) chain-like
Exons: 2
Source: RefSeq, a predicted model, not a curated record
GAGAGAGAGGAAGAGAGAGAGGGAUGGAGAACGCGGAAAGAGGGAGAGAGAGAGAGAGAAGGAAGGAAGGAGGGACCGGCAGAAGGAAAGAGAGAGAAGGGAGGAGGGAGGGGAGCCCGAGGGCGAGGAGGCCGGUGCCGUGGCGGGGUCCGGCUGCUUCUGCCGCCGCGGGGCCUCUUGUGUCGUGUCCGGCGGGGCUCCUGUUCCGUCAGCGGCGCCGAGGAGGCAACAGCUGCCCCCGCCUCAGCCACGCGCCCAGACCCCCGGCCCCGAUCAGGCAGGGAAGGAGGGAGGGAAGGAGGCCGGCGGCGCUGAGGAGAGGGAGCCUUCUCCCCUCGGGAGCGGCCGGGGCUUCGGUGGGGCCGAGUGGGCCGAGGAGGAGGGAUGGGGAGGCCCGGCGGCGGCGGCGGCGGCGGCGGGAUCUGCGUGGCUCCUGGAGGCGGGAAAGGCCCCCGCGAGAUCGCCCUUGGGGCCGGAAGGACGGAGGAGGCAGGCAGGCAGGCAGGGAGCCCCCCCCCCCCGAUGGCAGGCCAGGGAUGCCCCCAGGACCUCUCCAGGAGGAAGCCCCCCAAAGGUCCCCCGUUUGGAGCAUGGUUUCCCAUCUUUGGAGUGUCCUCCCUUUCGGGUGCCUCGUCCUGCUUCGAGCCCUCCUUGUCCUCCCCUUCCAUGGCCCCCUUCUGUCCGGGAGCAGGCCUUGCCGAGGUGGAGGAGUCUUGGUUUGGGCUUUGCCUGGCUUGGGCCUGUCUGCCAUUUGUCCCGGACUGCCCUCCUUUUGUGGGGAGGGCAUCUGGGGUCACCCUGAAGCGGAGAGGGCUCAGCUGGGGCCUCCCGGCUUCUUUAGCCUUCCCUCGAAGCCCUUGCGACCUGGAUUCCCCUCGGAGGGCAUUCGGGGUCACAGGGGCCUCCUUGGGCCCCCCGGGAUGGGCCCUCCUUGCUUUCCAGGGGCCCUCCCUGCCUGCCUGCCUGCCUGCCUUCGGCUGCGGAUCCGGUGGAUGGCGAACCCUGUUCUUAGUCUGCAAAGGCAUCUUGUAAGAAAGGAGCCGUGGAUUUCCGGCGAAGGGUCUGGAAGCCAUGCCCUGGAUUGAGGGAGCUGGGGAUGUUUAGCCUGGAGAAGAGAAGGGUAAGAAAGAGGCGAUAUGAUGGCCCUCUUCAAAUACUUGAGGCCGAGGCCUGGAUGAGAAGAGACAGCUUUAGGACGAGAGAAAAGACAAACCAGGGCCCCCUGCUGCUCUGGCCAGUGAUCUGGUCUGCACUGCUUUGACUACUCUGGAGAGAGAGGGAAAGAGGCCUGUUAGUUGUGAGAAGUGAGUUAGGAACUAUUGCAAGGCAAACAUUCAACAGUUCCCUAGCACCCUUUUCUCCUUUUUUGCUGAGAGGCUGGUGAAUAUGGCAGCUCAUCUCAAUAGAAGACUUUUCUCUUUCUUGUGCCAGUUCCUUUUCCGUGUGGAUCUUUGAAUUGCACAGUUUGCCAAUGAAGGGCAUCUGUGGGAAAUUCCAGACUUCAGCUGGACCCUGCAAGGUGCAAAUGCACUCUGCAGGCAGAAAGGGACGCCUGGCGAGUUACCUUAUAGCUGGGCUUCAGGGAUAAGGCACUAUCCCAAUGGGAACCUCAAAGUGUAAACCAUUUGAGUAUAAAGUGCCACACCUGUCUGGAAACCAAACCUGCUGCGAUGCAAGAUUACUUGCUGAAUUUUUGUUGAUUCAGUAUAUAUGCAUAGGCAUCUUGAAAAUAUGGCAUGGCACUCAUUUUCUGAUUGGAGUAAUGCCCUUAAUGCACAACUGGGAAGUCAGAACAAUACAAAUCUGCAUGCAGGAAGAUAAAGGACUGAGUAGUGUAUAUGUUGAAUCUACAUGUGUGAACCUGUCUGUAUAUGAAACUCAUCAUUUGAGGGAGGCUUUCUUCCAGGUACCACUGUAAUUGGAAAGUCAAGUAGGUAAUUUAAAUGCUCUCCUUCAAAGACGUUCACCAUGUACCUUCUUUAAUACCUUUUAGUUGCCAGGGGAAAACUUCACUAAAUUCUUUGCAAUUUCAAAGUACAGUUGGCCGUCCAUGUCCACAGAUGUUUUAUCCAUGGAUUCAACCAUCCACAGCUUGAAAAUGUUAUAUAUAUAUAUAAACUCCAAUAAGCAAACCUUGAUUUUGCCAUUUUAUAUGAGAGAUGCCAUUUUACUAUGCCAACAUAUAUAAUGGGACUUAAGCAUCCAUAGAUUUUGGUAUUCAUGCAGGGUCCUGGAACGAAGCCCCAACGGAUACCAAAGCUCACUGUAUGAAUUGCCUUUUAGAUAUUCAUACAAUGAUGCUAUUGGUCUAAUGUGCAUGUGCAUUAUAUUUUUACUUUGUUCUGCUCAUACACAAAUAGGCUUUUUAUGUAAGCUGUCAUGGAUGUUGAUAGAAAGAUGGGAUAUAAAUCUUCCAUAAACAAAUAA